AGAGAGCAGAUUUAGACUGGACAUUAGGAAGAACUUCUUCACAGUUCGAGUGGCCAAGGUCUGGAACAGGCUCCCAAGGGAGGUAGUGCUCUCCCCUACCCUGGGGGUCUUCAAGAGGAGGUUAGAUGAGUAUCUAGCUGGGGUCAUCUAGACCCAGCACUCUUUCCUGCUUAUGCAGGGGGUCGGACUCGAUGAUCUAUUGAAGUCCCUUCCGACCCUAACAUCUAUGAAUCUAUGAUAUGUCUUCCUGAAAGUUCAUUCACUGAGAUCCCUAACGCACCUUCAGUAAUAGGUUCAGUUGUCAUUCCUUCAAACAGACUUUCUCUCCUAAUUGUUCCUUUCUGGAAAGGCCAUGUUUUUCUCCCUGAUCCUCCAAAUCAUCUCAGUCCCUUCAACAGUCUUCCUAAACCAGGGUAGUCAAUCUGUGGCACAGGUGCCGCAAGCAGAAUGGGCAGCCUUUGUGUGUAGUGCAAUAGAUUAGGGAGGGGACAGGCAGCACAGCAGCAGAUAGGGUAGGAAGUUGAAAGCAAAGUAGCAAAUUGAGCAGGGAGCACAGGGAUGGAAGGUGAAAGCAAAGCAGACGAUCAGACAGGAGAAGGAUCAGAAUGGCGCUUGAGGAGAAUGUAAGACUAAUUUUGCAGGACAAAAAGGUUGGUCCCCACUGUUCUAAACAAUACUUGCCUUCUAGUCAACAUCACUACAGAAGAUACUUUUGGUUACCUUUGGAAGUCAGUCCUACCCUGCAGACAGCCUUUCAUUUGCUGUGUAGAAAGGAGGGCAGAUCAACCUACUGCAAUUGCAACAAGUACCAACAUUUUUUUUCUAUUUUUCCUGAUUUUUUUUUUUCUUUCCUUCAGCCUGCUUUCAGUUUGCAUAUUCAAAAAGUUGCAUUUCUGUUUGUAUAAUCUCUCUUCUUACUGUCAACUGUUCUUUCUUUCCUCUUCUGCAUGUCUGCUCUGUCUUGGUUGCAUUAAGAUGUCCUGUUGCUUUCAGUGACAAUACAAAUCAAAUCAAUACAGAAACCAAGCAAACACCACACCUUUACAGAUGUAAGAUAUGUGCAGUAAAUGCCAGCUUUACAUUUAUGUACAUUCAGUAAUCAUCUAUUUUGGCUUAUACAAUGCUUGCACAAAAAGGUUUGUGUUUUGCAAGUGAUACCUAUCUCAUAUGUAUUUUGAUUCUGAUUAAGUAACUAGAUGACAUUGGGUGUGUCACUAGAAUUUCAAAAAUAUGUUUGGGAGAGGAGAAGAAAUACUAGAAUAUCAGCUUCUCUAGCAUACUUACAAAGUCCUGAGAGCAAGAAUGGCUUUUGUUGCCAUACUUGUCAAUAAUACAGAUACCUAUAUCAUUUCUGGGAGCUGUCUAGACACAUGAUAGGGGUGCAAACCUCUACAUUAGUAUUUCAUAGAGCGUUAAAGCAGUAAGUGAAGAAGAGCAAGGGACUGCAUAUAUAUUUUUUCCUUACAGCAUCCAUUCUGCCACUGAAAUAGAGGGUACUGGGUGAGAGGGACCUAUGGUCUGACCCAGUAUGGUACUUAUUAUGUUCUUAUGACAUCAGCAUACAUUACCUGCUCCAGAUUAGAGGGUUUAUAUAGAAGACCUGGUCAACAAAACUUAAUCAGCAAGACCUGUACUUUUUCUACUAGACAAUGGGAAGAAAUUAGUCACAAUAUAAAAAUAAGCAUUUUACUUCUGCAAUUAUGUUUUCACCUUGGUGACACUGUGAAGUGAAAAUAGAGGAUUUAACACAAUUCCUCCUGUAAUAGAUGGGACAUUUUUAAUGUGGGGCCUUAGUUCAAUAGUAUGCAUCCUAACCAUUCACCAGAGUGUGAGUUUAUUGAUCAUCAGCUCUGCUUCAGGAGUUAAUUAUAGUGUGGUAUACAGUAUCUUGAGUACUUCAGUAAUGAGAUUGAUCAACAGGUUGUGUGUAUAUAUUUUAAAUAACAUUCAUUAUAAAACAACCUAUGAUGCAUUUGUAAAUGAAUAAAAACAGGGACAUAUUGUGAUGAACACACAUGCUUCCAGCAAUGCUUACUUCUCAGUGAAUAAGAGGGAUCCAAAGGAGCUGGUUGUGUAAAGUGGGACUUGAGUCUAGAAUUGUGUUACUGGAAAACCCCACUCAACUGUUGCCCUACUUUAGGGGGUAUCUAAACCGCACAAGUGGCACAGUUUGUGACCUUGAAAUUCCCUAGACAACUUCAGUUCUUCUACAUGUGCAGCAACACCUAAUUUUCAACAGUGCAGAGCAGGUCAGCACCUAGAUCACACCUCAGCCCAUGCAGAGCCAUGCAAACAGGUGUUCCUCUGCUUAAGUCCUUUGGGGGCGGGGGGAAGAGGGGUCUUGUUCCAGUGGCCAUUCUCAGAGCACACCUAUAAAAUACUGUUAUGACUAGACUUUCACAAAAUGCAGUAGUGGCUACUACUUAAUUUAAGAUGUGAUAGUGCCUGCUCUCCAGGUUUGUUUUGUUUUAUCCAAUGACUACUAAAUGCAAAACGCAUAAAUCCCCCGGGACCAAACAGUGGCACCCAGGACAGGUGCCCUGUUAGGUUAGUGCCAUAACCACUAGGCUACAGAGUCGGCCCCCCACACACCUUUUUUUUUUUUUUUUUUUUUUUAUUUCUUAGCCAAUUCAUCUUUUUUUUCUGUAGCAGUUUGAUCAGGAAACAGCUUUGCCAAAAUAGCCUAUAGUCUGGUAGUUUAAAGCACUCUCUUAGGAAGUAGGAGCUGUGAAUUUGGUUUCUUAGGAAGAAAGGAAAACUGAACCUGGAUCUCUCACCUGGAUGAGUGCUCUAUCUACUAAACUCUUAGGUAAAGUGGUAAGAGGUGGCAUCUCCUCCCUAUGCUGUGUUUUAAAAGAAAAAACAAUCAAGCUCUGCUUUAUUCUUUGAAUGAAAGGUCACAGGUACUGGUCCCCAGGAAAGUGUUAAGGCUGUGGUUCCUGGGUAGAUUAAAGUAUCUCCCAGCAGCCCAAAGAUACCUAAGCUCUGUAAGAGGGUUGUGCUUUGGACUUCAUUGUUCCCUAUUGGCUAGUUCUGGGCAGCUGCGUGCUAAAAGUGGCUCCCUGCUCACUGCUUGCUGUCUUGGAUUGCCCCUCUGAGGCACUUAACUCUCCCCCUGUGCUGCAUGGGGAGCCUAAGCACAAAAUAGAAAUGUCUGGUUUCAUAGGAAUUAGGCACUACAGUAUCUAAGUUUUAGGUUCAUGAGUCCUUUAUUGGUUCUGGCCCUCAAUCUUGACAGUCAUAUUAUGUUUAUUCAUAACACUCACUAAAUGAAAACUAAAUCUGCUAUGAAUGUCUUGUUCUCUGAAGAAUAUGUGAAACUUCGUAUCAUUCAUAUUAAGCUUGUCUAAGUCAAGUUUAAGCCAUUCAUCUCUUUCCCUCUUUCUGUUGCCAAAGAUGGGGGUCAUGAAUCUUUUCAAUUGAUCAUUGGUGAGCAGGUGACAUUCCAGAUGUCCAGUGAAAGAGGUGUGCUUGUGUGCAUGUGUCUGACCAUUUUAUGUUUUACCUGGCCAAUGUUUUGGUGUGUGUUCAUCUAUAAAUUUACUGUAUUGGAAUUAACAACUUUCUCAACCUUACCUGUUGUGACUUACCAGCAGGUUUUUUAUUUCUUCCUCAGAAAGUCUCUCAUGUUUUCCUGCUUUAAAAUAAAAGUGUCACAUUAUUCUUUACAAAAUUAACUGUGGUCAAAAGGGAUCUGCACAUGGUGCUCCCAAAUGGUACAAAAUGUGUAUUUGUUUCAUAUAUGACAAUCAAAACAACUGACUUUUCCUUUCAAUGCUUGUAUUAUACUGUAAAUGGUUUACUUUUAUAUUAAAUUUGAAGCAUCUUAAGAGCAGCACCACACAGCACAGUUCAAGAAUAUUCAUUUUAAAUAAUUUAUGAUCUGAUUUCUGUAUUUCAGUGGAUUGCAUAACAAGAUCCUUAUCUUAAUUUGAGUCCAGCUAGAUGGAGUGCCUAAAAAUGUGAUUCAUUGCUACUCUAACCCCAAUGUUAAAGUCAUUUUUCCUGCUAAAAAUUAAUUUUUUUUUGUAAAUUUCCAAAAGAUGAGAAAAGCUUAUACAUAAAAAAAAAAAAUAUUAAGAGCAUAACUAAUUUAGACUGAAUAUGGAUUUACCCUAAUCAGUUCCUAAACCAGGGAUGAGGAGGCUGUUUAAAAUCCACUAAUAUUCUGUAGCAACUCUCAGCACCAUGUUAGAAGGAGCAGGGAAGGUGGGUGGAACUGGUUUAUUAUGGACUUCUCAGGUCUGCAGUGGCCCCUGCUGAUACCACAGGAAAGGAGGGUGUUUUAUCUACAAGGCAGCAAAAGUUGCUAUAGAGCUAUUCCACUUGCAUUCUACCAUCAAGAGUAGGGAAUACUUUAAAUUCCCUGGACUCUCCUCAGUAAACAAGCUGGUUGUUCUGGCUGUGCAUUGGGAUACAGAUUUGAGCCCUAAUUAGCACCUGCAGCCUAAUCAGAAAACUCCGUAUGAUCCUGAGAAAUUUGAACUGUAGACUUUCUGGUUUCUCUGACAGGCAACUACCUACCAUAAACAAGAGGAAUUAGAAUAAGAGUUUAGAACAGACAAACUUGUUCUAAGCUUUACUCAUGGCAGCUGUGGCAUUCUUCAUUUUUGCAGAGAAACCAGGAAGUCUGCAGCUAAAGUUCCCCAGAAACUUAAGAUUUAUCAUAUAGCAAUUCUUAAAACAAUGGAUGUAGAUACACUCCUUUGGGAAUUUCUCAAAAAAAUGUUGGCAAACAUAAUGUUUAAACCACUUCUUGUAGUUCACCUUUAAUGAUUUACAUUCUCUAGUCCUAAAGCCAUAUUUGUUAUAAAUGACCGAACUUAAAUCAAUUGAAUUGGACCUACCUCUGCUAGCAGGGAAUUUGGCUGAACAGAGCAAAACAGAGAUAAAUAUGGAGUGAAAGUGAACUAACUGUUUGGCUCCCUGAUCUGCUGGAGCUGUCCAGGACUUUAUCUCUAGUGCAGACAGACCUUUGUUUUUUAUUACAGCACAAUUUGUAAAGAAGUUUGGAAUUGUAGUCUUUAAUAACAGAUAUAACUGUUACUUUUUCUAACCACCUGAGACAUGCAUUUAAAAGUAUGCAGGUGUUAGAAAAUUCUAAUACACUCCUUUUUUUACUUUGUAUUGUACACAAAUUGUGAAUAUGUAUACAUAUGCAUAUACUUCUGAAAAUCUAGCCCAUGUGGAUCAUCACUGAUGUGAAAGACUCUUUACUCUUUAGGUUUAUAUUGAAUGCCAUUCAUUAUGACAAGAAUCAUAUUAGAGCAAGAUUCAGUACAAGAACAAAGGCCUGGUAGAUGUUAUUUUUCUUGGAAUACUUGUUUUGAAUUUUCCAUCUCUUGCCAUAGGGAUCUAAAUUAUUAUCAGGAUUACCGUGAUCAGAUGCUUCAUCUUUAUAUAGUACUGUUAGUCCCUAUUAUUCAUUAUAAAUGGACCAAUUAUGAAUGGUGGGUUAAAAAAACCCCUCAUUUUAAUUGAGUAAACUUUCUGACAAAGGAAAAUACUAUCAUGGAAUAUUUUAUCUGGUGCAUUUGCAGGGAUCGUAUCACAUGUUAAACUAUCACAAUUAUGAGGCUCUAAAAGCACAAUGCUGGAAAUUCUGUGCUCAAUGAUUGUUUCUCCGACCACAUCAUGCAGAACUUUGUACACCGUAAUGGCAUAUUUACAGUCAUUGGAAGUUCAGCAGAAAUAAGCUUACUCUGUAUGAACUUCUAAUAUAACUUCCAUCUUGAGCACAGCAAACAUAAUUGUCAGUAUUUCUGCAAGAUGUAGGCUCUUGUGCCAGUUCCUUACAAAGAUACUGGCUGUUAUAAUAGUUACAUCAAAGUCAUACUUAAGAAUAGACCAUACAGUGAACCACACAAAGUGAUUAAAACAAUCCAAUUGUUUAACUUUAUCAAAUACUCACUGGUUCUUUAGAUCUAAACAGAAUUAUUUCAUUCUCCAGAAAAGCAUUCAAUAGUGGCUAUUAAUAUGUACAUUUGAUUUGUACCAUUCUGCAGUGGCAUUCAAAGCUUUUACAAUACCACACAAUAAUAUAGAGAGAGAAAUAUCUAAAAUAGCAUUCCAUAUUUUAAAAGCAUUUAUUUUUCUCUGAAACCCAGUGUUUCAGAUUGCAGACUGUGAUGAGAUGUCUGGGAUAACAGUUUAUCCACAGAAAAGGGUAGCAGCAUAAUGAGCUUCUCUAUACUGACCUGCCUUUAGCCAUAUUUCCAGAGAAAUUGAGUCUAAGAUAUUAGAAAUUUCAGCCCCUGUGCCGAUUCAAACCUAGACUACUUUGUUUAGGCUACAAAGAAAAGUAGUUCUUAGGACUACUAACCAAUUCCAUGAAACCCACUAGAUAGCCAAAGUUUUUAGAGUUCACAUAAUUAUGUAUUUGAGCCAACUAAGAACCCUCCUUUAUCAACAGAAGGCAUCAUAACCACAUAGUAGGUAAGUUGAUACCUUGUAGCAAUGUACUUUAAUAACCAAGAGCAAAGUAAUUAAUGUGAAUAUGGCUCUAGGAGAAAUGUUAAACACAGUCAUACCACUGCAUCAUUGUUACCACUGACCUUGUUCAAGAUAUGGUAGGACAGUGUUAGUAUCUGUCGGUGGUAUUCAUACAAGUGGGCAGGGUGUUGCAGAUUAUGACUUUGUAAUAGGGAAUGUCUGUAGAAAACCUCUCCUUUUCAUGCAGAAAAACCACUAAACCAUGCAAAUUAUCUAUGUGAAUUAUCUUUCCUAAGCCAGGUAUUUGUGCAAGUGAGGUUGUUUACAUACCAGGCAAGAAUCCUGGUUCACUAUUGCCUGGAAACAUUCAGGUCACUACAUUCAGAGUCAGGUAAAAAAUACUGCAAUUGAGACUGACGUAAACCAAUCAGAGUGCAUAUGCAAAUGAUGCCUUCUGGUUUGGUUUCUCAGUAGUGUUUAGUCUUUCAUGAAGUCUUACUGAUAGCGUAUGUUAAUCUUUGCUUCUUAUUUGACUCAUAAGAGAUAAAUUACAGCUUUAUCAGAAUUUCCAGCUUCCUGUCCUUUUUACAGUGUUAAAUUAGAAAUACUAUUCUUAAGAUAUUCAUGACAAUAAGAUGUUUCUAAUGAAGGUAUUCAAAGAGCCAAGUCCUGCUUUCAGUUAUACUGAUCUAAGUCUGGCAUAAGUCCAUCAAAGCCAUGUUUCUCUUACAGCGGGGCUGUUCAACUGGCAGCUCCUGCCCAGCCAUCACUUCCCCUAUCGCUUUGGCUGCAGCAGCAGCCCAAGUCUCUGGGCUCCUCCUGCUUCUGGUCCCUGUCCUUGCCUUGGGGGCAGUGUGGUAUGGCCUGUGGAGCUAAGAGUGAGCCCAGUGCCAUGCAGUGGAUCAGGGGGAAGAUGUGCAGCCUGGGGGGUGGGGGCAUGACUCGUACUGGUGAGGCCUGCAGACGUGUGUACCCAUGGGGUGUUCAACCUCCAGCCAUUUAGAAGUUGGACAACUCUGUGUUACAACAUUCUCACUGGAUUCUCACUUACAGAAAGCUUCCUUUACACUGCACAUGGUGUAAAUGGGCCAUAGUGUAAAUGAAAAUCAGGCCACAUCAUUUUUUCUGGUUUUAUAUGGUAUGACUGAGAGCUGUAAUUGGCACUUUGACUAUACUGAGUAUACUAAUAGAUACUUUAUGCCAUAUGUGCAAGAUACUUGGUAAAAGGAGUGAAUGUGCGCCCCUGUGUACUUUCUCUGCCCAUUUUUUCAACAGUUGCCUCCAUCCCAAGGGCAGCAGAACUGGUAGAGAAGAGAGGCUAGAUUUACUUUUUAAGGAAUAACAAGACCUUUAAGGUGUGUUUCUGCAAUAUAAAGAUAAAAUUGGCCUGUUUCUCUCUCAUGCUAAGUGUUGAUCUUGUCCUUGUUCAAUAAAUUCUUACAAUCCCUUUGCAUGGAAGUUAACAUAUGUUGUAGUAUGAAUAAAAAUAGAUUAAGAAAAUAGAAAUAGCAGAAUAUAUUGUUUUGCUUUUUUUUUUUAUUUUAACCCCCUGCUGAGUUUGUAAAUUAUCUUUUUCUUUUUCAAGGCUUCUUGCUUUUUAAGCUGGUGGUUUUUCUUUUCCUUUCUUCUUUUUUUCUUUUUUUCUUGGUUUUUUUUUUUUUGCUAAGUUAAGUCACACUGUCCCAAUCGGGAUCUUCCCAUCAUUGCAGUAUUUGCCACCCAUAACCUUGUUUUAUGAUCAAAGGGGAAAUAAAAGGAUAGCAGCAAUGUUAAUAGGCUUUCCCAUGCAGUCUCUCUGGGAAUGGUCUUUUUAUAAGUGUCUUGAACUUGACCUCUUUGGAAGGCACAAAGGUCCAACACACAUUUUAAAAGUUAUAUUUAAAUUUUAAUUUUUUUUAUUCUGUGAAGCCAUUUAAAACCUGGCCCUCAAAACACAAAGCAUAAAUCUUUCAGGAUAGUCAUACAGUAAAAUUGAUGUGUGCAGAGAAGUUCUGGAAAACCCCUAAAGCUCUGUAACUUCACUUUCAUGUCAUUUUAUAGAUAAUUUCUCUGACACACCAACAAAAUAAUCAAAUGAAACCCAAUAUAUAAUAUUGUGAUUUCAUCAUUUUGGCAUUUGAACUUUCAAAUAUAAUUCAGCAAUGUACUAGGUGGUUGGGAGGGGGAAGUUUUCCUUGCCUCACCCUUUUUAUAAAAAUGUUCUUUAGAGCCAAACAUUUGAGGCAUUAGAAAGAUUUACAGUAAUAAUAUUAGUAGCUAUAAUGAACUUGGGAGCAAGGGAGUGUUAUAACAGAUUGUCAGAAUAAGAGUGAGUUUUUGUAAGUGAUUUUACCAACAGAUAAUAAAUAUUUAGGAACAUAGUCUUCUCUCUAUAAAUGUUUAUGCUAACAGUAACGCUUGUAGGAAAUGCAUAUGUUUGAGAUGAGGAUACAGAUAUCUCAAACUUUAUAGCAUGCUUUAUUAAUUUGCUUAGGUGAAUAUAGUUCUCAUUAAGGGUAUGGGCUUGACAGUCCUAGAGGCUUAAGUCCUUUAACAACAGAAAAAUAGGUGCAGAGUAGUUCCACACCAGUGCAGUGUGGAACUACUCAGUAGUUCCACACUGAGUCUAAAAUAACCUUGAAGAGAAUAAUUAAUUCCCUGGGUGUGUUUAGUCCUCCAUUGCUUUUCUGAGACUGGCAACAAAGAGGCCAGAAGUAUAUAUACAUUUUUCAGUGCAGACAGCUGUAGGCUUGAAGUUGAACUGAACAGCAAUUUAAUUCAGUUACUCAGAAUUACUGACCUGGGCAGAGCUGGAGCUACUGAACUAUAAAGAUGCGGAGCCCUGAAGUCCAUCAUUGAUGGACUAGUUGUCUGACAUGCAUUAUACCAACUACAAUGUUACACUACACUUAGGAAAACAAAUACAGUGAUAGAAAAUAUCUCUGUGUUCUACUAUGUAAUGUCCUAAAUGCUGUUCCUAAACCAUGCCAGAAUUUGCCUUGCCAGAGCUGGAGGGUGAGAGCAGACCACAUGAAAUGGCCUUGUCCGCUUCUGCUCUAGUCCCUAGAGUUCCUCUCAACUGCAUCUAGCUUCAGUGCCCACCUUGAAGCAGGGAUUGCUUGAUUGUAGCAUGGCUUCCCUUUCCUGACAUAGAGCUAGGGCUCCCCUGUGCCAGGGGAGCUGAGAAAGCUAAACUAAAAAAAGUUUAUCUUAAAAUGGUUUUGGCCAUUUUGAAACUGGUUUAUGUGCACGGAACUUCUGUUGUGUUACAGAUUUGAGCCGGUUUCCGAUCACUUAUACCAGUUCAUGUGUAAUUUCUGUCCCUAGCCCUAGAGUCUGAUCUAAAUCCUAUUGAAGUUGAUGGAAAAACACUCACUGACUUAAUGAAUAUUGGUUUAGGCUCAUAGGACAACAUUAUGCUCCCUUUGUGCUAAUGGAACAGCACAGAGGACCUACAUUUGGAAUGAGAUAAAGACUCUAGAGUGAAAUGAUCCUAAACAGGCUGCUAGAAAUUGAUGCAAACAGAAUAUGUGCUCAGACACAAAUGGCCAGAAUUUGACCUCAGUUACACCAGUAAAAAUCUUCUGACUCAUGUAAGUAGAACUUAGAGGGCUAGCCCCCAAAUCUGAAACUUAGAUACACAUACAAGCCAGAAGAUUCAGAAAGAAGAGUGGCACUGUAAAGCAACAGCCCCAUGGUUUGCUGGAACACCUUUGGACAAGCAAACGUGGCGGGGCAGCUGACUGAGAAUUUUCAUUCUGCUUAAUCACUACUGUUGGUAACUAAGCUUAGAGCCUAGCUAGACUUCAUUAUGUUCAUUAUAAUUUAAUCUAGCUGUAUUUAGAUUCUAUAUAAUACUGGUGUUUUUCUUUCUUUUUUUUUUUUUUUUGCUCUAUACCAAAUACAUUCUGUUUUCAUUUUAAAUCGAUGGCUGAGUUAAAAUAGUUUUCAGGUGCCCCACAGAGAUGGAAACUGACUUUUUCUGCACGUAAACCUGCUUUAUAAUUGAGACAGUUACUUUUAACAGAUCAAGAUUUUCCUUUCCAUAUAAUGCUGUAAUACAGCAGUUAGGCUGUUGGAGACCACUGUAAACAGAGAGGGAACUGAUUGGUUUUAAGCUAGGUUACGUUCAUUUUUGUCCAUGUGUCUGCAUAUGGUCACUGAGGAAGAGUACUGUAUUCGCCCUCAAAGACUGAUAUGCAGAUAGCAACUUCAGUUUAAACUGUGAUGCUAAUGAGAGCAAAUCGGUCCAUUCCUGACAUGGUUUAUUAAAAUCUUAAUUUCAGACAUCAAUAGAUGAAGAUCCCAAAAUUUGGAAGGGCAAAAAACUCCCACUAUCAUCAAAGUAUAUAGUAGUUUUGCUUGGGUAAGAAUUGAAGGAUUGGCUCUUUUUAUAGCUUUACUUGCUACCUAUCCAGGACUGUUUUCAUUAUUUUCUGAUCGUUUAUCUUAAUGUUGCCAAAUUAACUUUUUUAUUUGGUAAUUAAUAUAAAGAGCUAAGAGAAAUUUUAACCUACUAUCCAUCCAUCUCAUUUUAGCUGAUUAAAAUCAAACCUCAUUUCUUAAAUGCAGGUGGGGGGGGGAGAGGGUUUGGCAUUGCACAUCUAAACUUGAAGGGGGAGAGAAUAUAAAACAAAUAAGAAUCAGUUUCUUUUCUGGAAGUUUUGAACAAGUUUAAACAAAUCUAAAAUGGUAUUCACAAUAAUUGAUACUAAUUAAAAUGUUGAAAGCUUCAUUGGAGAGAAAUGAAAAGGAAUAUUUUGAGCUUCAUCUUCUGCAAUUUGAGUGUGUGUGUGUGUGCAUGUGUGAAGUUUUUUCAUGUUUGAAGUAAGUGUGGAAGUAUUAUAUACCUUGUGUUAUUUCCCUGAUAAAUGCUAUUGGUAUUUGCCAUUUUAUGGGGUGUGAUUUAAACAGCAGAUGGAGUUAAUACAUUUAUAAAAGAUAAUACAGAAUGGUUAGAAAUUAUGAAAAAAUGCCAGUGUGCACAGAUUCAAGAGCAGUAUUUCCUGUUUGUGCCUUACCUGGUAAUUUUUUUCUACAUAAACCUGAUUCAUAAUGGAGCCAGUUAAAUUUAACAAGUCAAGGUUCCCAGAAUGCUACAAGUAUUUCUACUUGACUAUAUUAUCACUGUUAUCAGUGCCAAAUAUACAAUCUGUGUCUAAACAGCAUUUGCUACCAGAUCUAUGUUAAAGGUGCUAAAAGAAAAAAGCAGGACAUGGGAGUGGAAUGAAGGAUUGGGAUGUGCAAAGGCUGGGAAGCAUGGAGACUGCAUAUGAUUAAUACAUAACCAGAGUUAGUCUUUUGUAAGAAAACAAGGAGGAGCCAUAUUCCCAUUUGAGGUGCUAGCCUCAACUCACCUGCACAGGUAAGAGCACACAUUGCAGCCAUUAAAUGGUUUCAUCUUUGUACUAUUACUAAGCUUGGUUUAAGGUCUUGGUAGGACCAGGGGCAGACUUGGGGACCUGGGUUGCUAAGUACAAUGUAGAGGGGCCCCCUGGCUUACUCCCACCCUCAUGGUUAGGCAGUAGCAGAGACAUGCCUUGUAUAUAGGUAGGAUCAAUGACACUGUAGUCUUAUUUCUCUGUCUCCCUUCCUAGAAGUUCACAGGUGAUAUUCCAGGAGAUGCAUGAUGCUUCAUCUGCUUGGUUGGAUGAGCGAAAUUCUAGCAUUAAAGUAGCAUUGAAACAGGCUGUCUAGAGAAGUUGUGGAAUCUCCUUCCUGGAAAUUUUCAGGAGCAGGUUAGAUAGAGACUUGACUAGAAUGCUUUAGUCAGGGAUGAUCCUGCCUUCAUCAGGACAGACUAGAUGACCCUUCUAGCCCUACUUUCCUAUGAUCCUACUCAGUUGUGGGAGAGUCAUCCACCCCACAGCACAGUGGGCCAUGAAGUUGAUGUUAUCAUUAUGCAUUAUAUUGUAGCAAGAUUUUUUAAGUCCUAAAGCGAAUGGGAUCAGCAGUGUGGAGGAGGAAUGAAUUUGUUUAUCUAUUUGUCUUUUCACAGAAGUAGAGCACAAGAAUUCAUCAGGAAACACCUAGAAAUAUCCGGAGGGAUUGAAAGGAGCUAUGAAGGAUCCUGGGUUCCAAUCCUGUGUCCGUCUUCCUGACUGUCAACUUCUGUUGAUUGAGAUGAAAGCACAGCUAUCCUUUUUCAAGUAUGGUUUUCAGCCAGAACCACUGAAAGAGAAUGGAAAAUAUAAUGGAUCAUGUUGCACUGUUCUGCACAAAAACACUUGUAUCAGUUAUUAAGUUCCACUAUACCUGUUGCUUUAAUAAAUCUUAACUACUUUUUUUCCCUAUCCAAACACUUUAUACAUAAGUCUAUCAGCCCAAAGACUAGUUUCAGUUGCAUAGACCUUGAAUCUAGAGUAGUGCAGUGAAGUUGAUGAAGCUGCUAUGAAUGGUAAGCCACUUAACUGAAAGAAGAAUUAGCUUUGUUCAGUGCUUGGUGGUGAUUAUUUACUAAAGGGUGGUGAUUAUUUACUGAAAUGUAUUUCUUAUGAUAGAAUGUACAUGGCUCCUUUUUAUUUCUGAUUGCUCCUAAAGUUUCACCUCUGAUACUGAGGCAUAUUGGAGAGUAAAGAUAAGUCUCCUUGUGCAUAAGGCAUAAAUGAAAUAAAUUUAAAUGUGUCACUGUGCUCUUACAGCCCCAACAAAAAGUCCCUUAAGGUUCAGUUUUCUCAAGUCUGUGAACUUUACACAAGACUCAAGGUGCUGACAUCCUUGUAUGAUUCAUAAAGAUAUAUUCUGUUUACACAUGAACGUAAGCCUCCAUAAGUUGAGUUUAGAAAUGGUUUGAAUGUGGGGCAGAAAUUAGAUGUAAUAAUGAAAAGCAUUUGAUUUUCCCAGAAAAUGUUUUAGUUACAAGGUCAGCAUCUGAAACUGAUGUACACAUUCUUCUUACUAUAAAUGCUGUUACAGGGUUCCUAAUCCAGAGCUCUCAUUAGGGGGUUUGUAACUCAGCUAUAAAAAACAGUAUAUUAGUAGCAAACAUCUCAGUUUAGAUGGCUUUUUUAUCAUAAACUAAAUUUUAGAAAAAGGAGAGGAUUUUAUUCAAAGGCAUAACAGUCAGGGUGGCAGUAGUAGCAGUGGCAAGGCCAGGUCAGACCAACAGCAAUAGCAGUUGCCACCAUUUUUGCACCCCUUCUAUAUGACCCAACCUUAGUUACAGUACUAGAUUUUUGCCAUUUAAAAAAUGUAAGAAUUGAUACAAUAGGUCUUCACAAGUAAAACUCUGAAGUCAUUGGAUGUUUCCCCUACCCAUAGAACUACAUUGUAUAGGUGCAGAAAUAAAGAUCAUCAAGUUGGGAAACUCUGAUUAUAUUAUAAAUUUAAAAAUAGAUGGUUAAAAUAGAUUUGUGAGGAGGAAGUGACUUACUUCUAAUUGGUUAAUUUGUAAAUAUAGAUUUAAAUCUAUUUGUACAACUAAAGAAAGGGGCUAUUCUCAUAAAUAUCAUCACACUGGAUAUUUCUCCUUUUAAACUAUUCCAUUGUGUAUUAAAACUUGUAAACUGAGUAGUGUCCAUUGAUUUGAUAUCAAAUCUCAUGACUAAAACUCUAUAAAUAUCUGAUAAUGUAGGUAUUUGCUCUUUUGUAAAUCAGUCUUUUCAGUGAGACGUGAGAGAGGAAUUCACUGUCUCCUCCAUAUGGAACAACAAGGAUAUGUGAGAAUAAGUUUUUCUUUCUUUCAGGAGGUUCUGAAGCCCCCUGCCUUUAUCAGCUAACUCUCAUUCUGUUGUUUGGUAUCAUUGAUCAUAAUGCUCUCCAAAAUCAAUGGAUCAAAUGUUGCAUCUGUCAGACAAACUUCAUGGGAGUAGUUCCUGUUGACGUGAAAGGGCAGGAUCUUCAAACAUAUGCAAAAUUAGCUACAUCAGACUGGGAACCCUGAGCAUCUACCUCCCAUAUGCUCACUUUUCAUGUUAGGGAGACAAUAACGAGCAUAGGUCUAUAGUGAUAAGCAAGAUCACACUACCUAGCUCAGCAUAUGGUCACACUGCUUCUCUCAGUACCCUGAUUAAACCCGGAAAUGAUGCACAAAUGAUCUUUUGCAGGAGGUAGUUGAGGGCUGAUCUUGCACUCUUUGCAUUUCACUGGCAAUUACUGGGACCUAAAAUAAUUUGGUUAUAGUCAACAUUUUAAAACUUGGAUGGCAAAUAUUAUACACUCAAAAAAUAGGAAAAUGUAUACUUUAUUUGAAGUGCUGUCACAGUUCUUAAGGCAAAUGAGAAUUAUUAGUGCUCAACACCUCUGGAAAUCAGGACAUGUCUUUUGAUAGGGCUAUCUUUGUACAUUUCAAAGUGUUGCCCUUUGUGCUUUAUUUACAGAGCCCUAAUGCAAAGAGCCAUUUAUCUCCAGCAAAUGUGGCUGAUUACUUCAAUCUCCAUAGCUCUGAAUGAUAAUUCUAACACAAUCAGUGUUUCUGCUGUGACCUGUACAUUGGCUAUGUCCUACAGACUCAGUAGUUCUUAUCAGUUUGACUGCUAAUACUAGCCAUUGCUAGCCAACUACCCAGUAAGCCCAAUAAGUGGUGGGCAUUGUAUUAAAGUGCAUAUGGCCUGAUCAAAAGGAAUAGCCUAAACCACUUACCUUCUCUUCUUGUAUUUUUAAACUUUUUAAUGCUUUUGGUCAAAUAAUCUUUACAUUAUAGUUGCCUCUGACCUCAAUGGAGAAUCAGAACUUCAUUGCUGUCAUUUUUAAAAAAGAAAAAUUAAUGAAAAAAGAGAAGUGUUGUUCCAGAGAUUUACAGUGUAAGUUCAGGACAGGAUGCAACGGGUGGAUGAGAAAAAGAAAUAGGCAGCGAGUAAGAGGAGUAAAGGUUUUUUUGCAUACUCCCCACCUGCCUACUCAUUAUCAGAUGGUCAUGUUCUGGACAUUUCCAGGAAAGAUUAUAUGACUAAGUGAGUCUUGAUCCUGCAAACACUUGAAAAAAGCCACAUACGUGUUUAUACAUUUGCAGGACCUAAAUACCCUAUAUUAUACUGCAGCAUCACAUCCGAUUCCAUUUUUAUUACCUUCUCACCUCAUGUUAUAAUAACAAAAUGACAGUCAAGCACUUCUGCUAUUAUAUUUACAGUAAUUUUGAAUGAUUAUAUGGGAACUUAUACAGGAAAGCAUGGCUUACUUUGAACCUCCUACCCUUUCCUCAUCUAUGGCUUACAAUAAGUAGGCACAGUUAUCAAACUCUUGUCAGGACUUGUAACUUGUCUGCAAUAACAAGGUUAACCAGCAACAGCAGUCCAUGCUUUGUGGUUGCAUGCCAGUAAAGUACUGACAAAUUGAAAACUGUAAUGAGAAUAAACACAUUCUGAAUAUUCUCAGCACACUGACACUUUUACAUUAGGAACUGCAGUCAUGUUAAGUAGUCUUGUCUUACCCUACCCAUCACUCUUGAAAUAGGGGACCAUUUUAAACCUGUCACAUGAUCUACAACAAUAGUAAUAAAUGUGUCUCUUGGGCCAUAAUCCUGAGGUCCACAGGACACGAUUUGGUAUGCUUUUUUCCUGUUUGGUGUGUUCCCACUUACCCCCAGUAAAUAAGAGUGAAAGUUAAUAAGAAGAGUGGUUUUAUAAAUGAAAACAUAAAUUGUCAUGGCAUUGGAUAUUGUUUUAAUUUUAGGCCAUCAUAACCUUCCUACAACAGUGGGUCUGCUGGUUUUGUUCUUUUAAAUAAUACUGUUUGACCACUGUUUGUGUUAACAUUUAUUACAUAGCAAUACUAAAAUAAAAUAUUUGCUUACAA
This is a long non-coding RNA of Alligator mississippiensis (American alligator), 16143 nucleotides long. RefSeq lists it as uncharacterized. The record is from RefSeq and is a predicted model, not a curated record. Lineage: Eukaryota; Metazoa; Chordata; Crocodylia; Alligatoridae. The transcript has 2 exons.